Molecule: long non-coding RNA, 1497 nt
Filed under: Equus asinus (donkey)
Lineage: Eukaryota; Metazoa; Chordata; Mammalia; Perissodactyla; Equidae
Description: lncRNA (ENSEASG00005030973.1)
Source: RNAcentral
GUUCCAGCCUCCUUCUCUGGGAUGCAGAGAGCAUAGAGGGACCACCGGGGGUGCCAUGUUUAUAACAGGAUUCAGCAGAGUUGAAUCAUUCAUAUGUCCAGCUAAGUCUUACUCUUUCGGCUCCAUCCUCCCAGACGGUGCCUCUGGUUGUCGGGUGGCCCCACCAUGUGCAACUAGCUCUCUUCCUUUCAGGGAGAAAAAUGAAGACAUCGAACUUUGGCCUCUGGUCUGCGCUUCAUCUUUACUGGGGAGAGCUGGCCUUAUGGUAGAAAUAUGGUGUUUUGCCUUAUUUGAUUCAGUUCUUUGUGUGCAUACUUUCCUUCAGAAUCCUGGAGGGGAAAAGGGUGUUUGGAGCCCCAGAUCCACUUGUAGCAUUUGGAGUGGGGGAAAUGCCUGGACCAGUAUUGAGGUCACUGUCCCUUUUCCUUUUCAAACCCAGGACAUUUGCUCCUGUGCAGCGACUCUCAAAGGACGGUCCUGGGCCAGUAGCAUCAGCAGCACCUGGGAGCUUGUUAGGAAUGCAGACUCUCAGGUUCACGCCAUGCCCACUGGAUCAGAAACUUUGUAUUGGAACAAGCCUUCUGGGGGGCCCUGAUACACGCUAAUGCUUCACAAAAUACAGAGAAAAACCUGACUAAUCAGCUUCUAAUAUUAAGAGAAUAUUAAUAGAGUUUUGUCAAAAGAUGACAGCCUUGUAAGACUGGGCAUUUCCUUUAGAAUGGAUCCUCUACAUUCUAUCACAUCGCCAAUUUGCAUAAAAGUCCCUGGUGUAGUCACUAGGCAACAACAUUUUAUACAGUAGAAGUCCAGAUAAUAAGAGAUGCGGACACCUCUUCAUCUUACAAGGGGAAGAAACAGAGAGAAAGGCAGAAGAAUAAAGCAAUCAGAUGUGUGUCCUAAAUUUUAUCUUUCCAGGUUCAGAAAUCAAAAAGCAUAUUAGAUAAUUGCAUUCUAGUUACUCCUUGAGCUGUGGUCUGGGGAGUGCCCUCAGAGGAAAAGCGUAUUAAACAUGGAUGUCACCCUAUGUGGUCCUUGCUCCCAGGAUUGAAUCACUUCAGUUUCUAUCUGGUUUCAGUUGCAUUUUUUUUUUUCUGGUGAGGAAGAUUGGCUCUGAGCUAACAUCUGUAGCCCAAAUCUUCCUCUUUUUGGCCCUGAGCUGAUAUCCAUGCCCAUCUUCCUCUAUUUUAUAUGUGGGAUACCUGCCACAGCAUGGCUUGAUAAGUGGUAUGUAGGUUCACACCCAGGAUUUGGACCUGCCAACUGUGGGCCGCCAAAGCACAAUGCACAAAUUUAAACACUACACCACUGGGCUGGCCCCUCUGGUAUUUGAUUCUUAAUAGUUUAUCUAAAGUUGAUCUGUAGGAUGUUUGGUCUAUUGCAAGCCUCUGUGCUAUUUUAGAGACCACACUCAAGCUUGACAUUUUAUUUUCUUGUCCUUUCCUUGGUUCGUGUGUAAAAUUAACAGGAGAUGAGAAUUAUGUGAAAAUUUGGUUGGGA